ACUUAAAAAUUUAUCACAUUUGGAUGUCACUAUAUGAAUGUAAGCCAAGACCUAAUGUAUAUCGAAAGGGUUGGAAUAUUUUUUUUUUGCUUUCCAAAACAAAUUUAGGAUAAAUAACAAAUGUUACAUUCCCUUUUUUUUAUUUUGAUUUUACCUUUCAAAAAUUCAUUUUAUUUUAUUUUUUAAAAAAUUGAAAAGAUAAAAAAGAUUGGAAUUUUUAUAAGAAUUUUCUUUUUCCAAAAUUUAAUGCAAAAAUAUCUUAAAAAGAAAAAUGAUGAACCUAAUUUACUAAAAUAAGCAAAAAUAAACGCUAAUUAUCCUUUUACAAACUUAAUCAACUAAAAUAAAAUAAAAAUAAAAAAAUAGAGCUAAAAUUGAAUAGAAAUUUUUGGUGUCUACAGUUAUGUGGCCAUCUCAAAACUUUAAGGGGAUCAUUUGAUGUUAUGCAAAACAAUAGGGGGUUAUAUGUAAUUUUUCCAAAAAUAAUUGAUUUAUUUGCUUAAUAUCUCUCAUUCGCCAAUUAAUCAUUCUCUCGAAGGCCUCUUUGACGUGUACUCGACUUGGAUAAAUGGCCUCUUUUCCUUAAGAAUUCCCAUUUCCCCAAACGAUCAAUUUAUUUGCUUAAUAUCUCUCAUUCGCCGGUGAAUCAUUCUCGCAGGUUGGAAAUUAUUGUGUCUUGUGAAAAGGGCAAGAAAAGAAUACAAGAAACUCCAUCAAAUAGUUAUUUGGUUCCUUUCUCCCAUAUCCGAAGAAGCAUAUGUUUAUAUUUCUAAAAUUACUAUGUUAAAUUAUCAUCAAGUUGCAUACUAUGUGAAAUUAUCACCAAGUUGCAUGCGCAUGUCUUUACUUUUUCAUUAGCUAAUGACUUGGAUUCACAAAAUCGUUAUAUCAAAUAGAAACAUUACCACUAAUAAGUGUGCAUUUUGAGUAUUUUAAGUGUGUUUUAUUAGUUAGUUUUGCUGUGUUUUAAUUAGUUUUAUAACUUAUGAGUUAAGUUGUUAGUGAAAAUAUGCAUUUUAUUGUUUAAGUGGUAAAAGUUGCAUUUCUAUGAAUUUUAAUAGUAAAAAUUUUAUGUUUUUGUAGGUUUAGUGAUUCAAUCAUCAAAUUGCAAGAAUUGAGAAGAUAAUUGGAUGACCAGUGAUGGUUUGAACUGAUAAAAUGAGAAUAUGAAGUGCAAGAGAUGAAAUGCAACUUAGUAAACAAGAAAGAAGUUUUACAGCUUUGAUAUUUUGUGGUAUUUCGGCUAUAUCUUGAGUUACAAGCAUUAGAUUAAAGUUAUUCUUGUACCAUUUUAAAGCAAAGAUAUACAUAUACAUUUGUCAUGAAGAUAUUGAAAUCC
RNAcentral lists this long non-coding RNA (1339 nucleotides) under Coffea arabica (coffee). RNAcentral's name for it is "long non-coding RNA (CARA_LNC006547)". The record is from RNAcentral. Lineage: Eukaryota; Viridiplantae; Streptophyta; Magnoliopsida; Gentianales; Rubiaceae.